AUUGAACGCUGGCGGCAGGCCUAACACAUGCAAGUCGAGCGGCAGCACAGUACUUGCUCGCUCUUUCGGGGGCCGACGGGUGAGUGAGUGCGAAGUAUAUCGCUGUUUGUGUUUUCUUGCGUGCUGACGCGGGGGCUCAUACCGUAAUACUCCUGAGGGAGUACGUGGGGGAUCUUGGGAUCUUCGGCUCUUAGGCGAGUCUAGGUCGGAUUAGCUAGUUGGUGGGGUAAAGGCGUACCAAGGCGACGAUCCGUAGCUGGUCUGAGAGGAUGAUCAGUCACACUGGAACUGAGACACGGUCCAGACUCCUACGGGAGGCAGCAGUGGGGAAUAUUGGACAAUGGGCGAAAGCCUGAUCCAGCCAUGCCGCGUGUGUGAAGAAGGUCUUCGGAUUGUAAAGCACUUUAAGUUGGGAGGAAGGGCAGUAAGUUAAUACCUUGCUGUUUUGACGGUACCAACAGAAUAAGCACCGGCUAACUUCGUG
Molecule: ribosomal RNA, 484 nt
Filed under: uncultured bacterium
Lineage: Bacteria
Description: partial 16S ribosomal RNA
Rfam family: Bacterial small subunit ribosomal RNA
Source: RNAcentral